RNAcentral lists this unclassified non-coding RNA (288 nucleotides) under rhizosphere metagenome. RNAcentral's name for it is "partial ribosomal RNA internal transcribed spacer region". The record is from RNAcentral.
GUAGGUGAACCUGCGGAAGGAUCAUUAUCGUAACAAAAUGUGUGAGGCAUGCAAGGGCUGUCGCUGACUUUUGACGCAAAAGUUGUGCACGCCAGAGUGUGUCCUCUCACAUAAAAUCCAUCUCACCCUUUUGUGCACCACCGCGUGGGCACCCCUUCGGGAUCAAACUGAUCCAGGAAGGGGGGCUUGCGUUUUCACACAAACCCCUUUUUAAAAAGUGUAGAAUGACCCCAUUUUUGCGAUAACACGCAAUCAAUACAACUUUCAACAACGGAUCUCUUGGCUCUC